CCAACAGGGAUUGCCUCAGUAACGGCGAGUGAAGCGGCAACAGCUCAAAUUUGAAAUCUGGCCCCAGGCCCGAGUUGUAAUUUGCAGAGGAUGCUUCUGGCGCGGUGCCUUCCAAGUCCCCUGGAACGGGGCGCCAUAGAGGGUGAGAGCCCCGUCUGGUUGGCCGCCAAGCCUGUGUGAAGCUCCUUCGACGAGUCGAGUAGUUUGGGAAUGCUGCUCUAAAUGGGAGGUAGACCCCUUCUAAAGCUAAAUAUUGGCCAGAGACCGAUAGCGCACAAGUAGAGUGAUCGAAAGAUGAAAAGCACUUUGAAAAGAGGGUUAAACAGUACGUGAAAUUGUUGAAAGGGAAGCGCUUGUGACCAGACGUGCGUCGGGGUGUUCAGCGGGCGUUCUCGCCCGUGCACUCGCCCCGGUGCAGGCCAGCGUCGGUUCGGGUGGGGGGACAAAGGCGUCGGGAACGUAGCUCCUCCGGGAGUGUUAUAGCCCAGCGUGUCAUGCCCCCGCCUGGACCGAGGUUCGCGCUCCGCAAGGACGCUGGCGUAAUGGUCUCCAGCGGCCCGUCUUGAAACACGGACCAAGGAGUCGAGGUUUUGCGCGAGUGUUUGGGUGUCAAACCCGCACGCGUAAUGAAAGUGAACGCAGGUGGGAGCUUCGGCGCACCACCGACCGAUCCUGAUGUUCUCGGAUGGAUUUGAGUAAGAGCGUAGGGCCUCGGACCCGAAAGAUGGUGAACUAUACGUGAAUAGGGUGAAGCCAGAGGAAACUCUGGUGGAGGCUCGCAGCGGUUCUGACGUGCAAAUCGAUCGUCAAAUUUGCGUAUGGGGGCGAAAGACUAAUCGAACCAU
Molecule: ribosomal RNA, 845 nt
Filed under: Thozetella wenyingiae
Lineage: Eukaryota; Fungi; Ascomycota; Sordariomycetes; Chaetosphaeriales; Chaetosphaeriaceae
Description: partial large subunit ribosomal RNA
Rfam family: Eukaryotic large subunit ribosomal RNA
Source: RNAcentral